AAGUCGUAACAAGGUUUCCGUAGGUGAACCUGCGGAAGGAUCAUUAAAGAAAUGAUGUUUUUUGGGGUUUUUAAUCUCAAAAAAUAAUUCACCUUUUGUGCAUUGUUAUUAGAUAUACUUUGGUUAGAGCUUUGAUUUCAUUGAUUGGAAUCAACUUCUUGCUGACUCUAUCCUAGUAUAUAGGACAGUUGGCUAUGAAGCGGCCUACCAAGGUUUUUUUAUCAAACUCUUGUAUUUUGUCUGACCUAAAAUAUCAAUAAUUAAAUCAUAACUUUCAACAACGGAUCUCUUGGCUCUC
Molecule: unclassified non-coding RNA, 298 nt
Filed under: fungal sp.
Lineage: Eukaryota; Fungi
Description: partial internal transcribed spacer region
Rfam family: Eukaryotic small subunit ribosomal RNA (bases 1-46)
Source: RNAcentral